Non-coding RNA from Podarcis lilfordi (Lilford's wall lizard), 27105 nucleotides. NCBI's taxonomy places the organism in Eukaryota, Metazoa, Chordata, Lepidosauria, Squamata, Lacertidae. The record is from the annotation of a GenBank genome assembly.
UCCGCUGCAGAGCCUGUGUAUGUCAUUGGUGCAUUCCAUUGGUGCAGAAGCCUGUUUUCUUGACUGGUUCAAUAUGCUGCUGGAGGCUGAGCCAAGCUCUGUUCAGAGGAGACCAUGAGAGGAGACCACACAAGAUGGCCUUCUGGCCAUUGGGGGGGGGGCUUUUCUACACUGCUCCCAACUCUGCCACAGCCUUUCGAGAUGGGGCAAUCGGAAAUGGAGAGCCCUUUCCUGAUUAGUCAGAAGUCUACCAGCAUACGUGAAGUUCCUAUUUAGUUAUUUUGGCCCCAAAGUAUAUUCCUUUAACUUACAUGGAACUGCAUUUGCCAUUUUGUUCAUUUAUUCACCCAGUUUGGAGAAAAUAAUGCUACGCUACUAAGAAUACAGGAUAUGGCUGGAACAUUCUGAAUCACUGCAUAAAGGCAGCUGUUUCAGUGCCUUGUUGAAUCAUACAGCUGUCUACCAUUCAAUACUGGAUAAAGUAGAUCAUGAAGUGCAUCAAUUAAAAUAGUUAAAACUGUUCUUGAACUUAAGAAUAUUGUUUACUCAGAAGAGUAGGCAUGUCCAAGGAGGUGUGCCUAGAAUUCUCACCUAUGCUAGAAAAAUGCAACCUGUGCUGCUGAUAGAAAUAGUACGACUCCUGCAACACGUUGGCGACUAAUAUACACACAAUAAUUAAUAAAAUGAUUAUACAUUCUUUAUCAAUCUUCUGAGAAAAAUACAAAACCUUGUACAAAGCCACAGAGACUUGCGAACUACCCAACCUAAGAUGAACUUAAUGUCUGAUUUCAAUGGAUUUUUCAGGGGCUUAACUCAGUCUUUAGGUAAGUUCAUGAAGAUACCAACAAAAAGUAAGUUCAGUGUUUUUCACAAUACUGAGAGAUGCUACUGGAGUUGUAGAUGGAUGUUAAUGAAGUUGUAGACAGGGUGCUGGCAUUUUGCACCUGUUUUGCCCUGGCGGUCCAAGUGAUCAAGAGGCCGUUGUUUGCCCCUGAUGGGGCCCUUUUACUGGGGCUUGCAGGUAGCACACUCCCAAGGUAGUUUUCCGGGCUUCUUCAGUGGUCUAAUCUCAAAUCCUUGAUAUGUAUAUUGAUAUUCAAUUUCAUAGAGAAUACUAUUUCUUGGCUUAAGCUUAAGAGACUACGACUACUACUACUACUGCUACUAGAAUUCUCACUUAAGCAUCAUUAUCAAAUAUAAACAUACCUCAGAACUGUUUUACUGCAUAGUAAUUGAAAAAUAUUCAGUGCAAGAAAAAUUCUGAACACAUCCAACCAAAGGAUCAUGGUUGCUCUCAGUUCAGGAAGCCAGCACAUCAUUUUCUAAGUCUGUGCAUCUGGAUAAGAUUCUAUAGAUUUAUUCGCUCUCCUUUAACAAGACGACUUCGCAUGAUCCAAAUAUCCUAAGGACAGAAAAGAACCUUGUUUUGUGUGCAAGUUCAUUCCCGCUGCACAUACAAGCAGUUGCAUAUGGAAGGAAGCCCACCACACCCAGAUGUUUUGGUUCUGCAUGAAGCUUUGCUUCCGAACUGAGGGCUCAUCCACACUUUUGCUCCAGAUUUCUAGCCACAGGCCUGAGCUUUCCAGGUCUGACAACUUUCCCCCCAUUUUCUUACCACUUUCCCUAUGAAAACACACUCUUUACUGCUGAACUGAAGGAAAUGGCAAUGCGCAGAAAACCCUCAGUUCACUGCCAGCAACACAAAUCACACAGCAUGCCUAGUGGUGUGGUAGAAAGAAUUGUAAUAUGCUAUGUAGAAGCUGGGAGAGAGAUCAGGAUCAGACCUGCUCAACACCAAAGUACAUGACUGAGUAGGCUACCACCAUUGGAAUAAUUAUUCCCAAUACCACUAUCUCAGACAUAUGACGUGAAAAGUUUUUGAUGCCGUUUUUUUUAGGAAACUGCUUGACCUUUAUACAACUUAGAAUAAUAUUGAUGAAAUACCCCCCCCCAAAAUUUGUCUUAUCUGUUAUUACAGCAUUUCCUUUUUGCCACUUUAAUAUCACUUUCUUCUCUUUCUCUUUCCACAGUAUAUACACCAAACAUUUCCCCAGUUUGUAAUUAAAUUCAAUUUAUUUUUGGUUUAGCAUAAUUCAGUUUCAUUUCCUUCUUCUGCAUUGUUAACAUAGACAACUGUCUUUGCAGCAUCUUGAUUUGCCUAGUUGUAUUUAUCUCAGUUGGAGAUCAUUCGAACUAUUUUUCUUUUAGUCUAAUCUUGGACAGUUUUCUGUAGUUUUCUCUGCCCAGUCUCUUUCUUAGGAUUAAAAAAUUAUGUUGUAUGAAAUAACCUCUGAUGAAAGCUUUAUUGGCAUCCCAAACCAUUUAUAUUCCUGUCCUUGUCUAAGUUAUUCUCAAACAAUUGUUUCAGCUUAUGCUUGCAGCCUUCCACAACUGUUUCUUCUUGUGGUAGCGUUUCAUUAAGCCUCUGGCUAAAGAAACCAGUUUUCUUUUUAAAAGUCAUAAUUACUGAAUUGUGAUCUAAGAAAGUCUUUGGUAAUAUGUCUAUGGAGUUGCCAGUGUCUUAGUCAACCAAAUCAUAUUUUUCUUGAGAAGCAUCUGUGUCUUUCAGAGAAAUAUUUAUAUUUUUAGAUGUCAACAAGUUCCAAAUUAUCCAUCAUUUCAAAGAAAACCUUAGGUACUUUAUCCUAGGAAGUUUUAAUAUUUUUCUUUGAAUUUCUGUCCUGCAUUGGAAAGACCACUCCAUCCCAGUCAGUUUUCAUAUGAAAAGUCCAUCAACCACAAGCCCACAAGUCCUAUAUAAAAUGUUGAUUACUUUUUUUUUACAGCCUUGGAUAGUAACUUCCACCCCAACAUAUCUACAUUGUUCAUCAGAGAUUAUCAGUUUGGGGCAAAAGAACUCCAUUACCCCCCCCCCCAAAUCCUGCAGAGAUCAAUUCCUCACCAAAUUCUUUUUUUGUCAAAUAUUUUAUAUCCUUUUCCCUAAUAUGUGUUUCUUGUAAACAAAUUAGAUUUUUUUAAAAAGAAAUAUAUUUUUUCUCUUUUGAGGAAUAUUUGCUCCAUUUAUAUUCCAUGUUAAGUACUUGUAAUCCAUAGCUGAGAGGGUUAUUUUGUCAUAUCUACAGCUCCCAUUUCUGUUUCUUCAGUCUCAUCCAUUUGUAUUUCUUCCAUUUCAAAUUUAAAUUUCUCCACAAAGUCUCUUGCUUUCUGUACUGAAUCAAGUUGAAAUCUUUGUUGUUUAAAGAUAAAAAUCACUCCCUCCUGUAUGUCCCAUCUUGAUUGAAUUCUUUUCUGCUAAAGUUAUUUGUCAAAAAAUAGUAGCCUUUUUCUUUUUUGCAGUACCCUCAGUGGAAUUUCUUUCAAUUCAAUCACAUCUAUAUCAUCAAUUUUCAACUUGGUCUCAAAAUAUUACUGUAAGACUUCGUCUCUAGUUUUCCUUCUAGCAAAUUGGACCAAAACAUCUCUUGGAACCUUUCUUAAUUUUGCAAAACAUGUACAGUGGUACCUCGGGUUACAUAUGCUUCGGGUUACAUAUGCUUCAGGUUACAUAUGCUUCAGGUUACAUACGCUUCAGGUUACAGACGCUUCAAGUUACAGACUCCGUUAACCCAGAAAUAGUGCUUUAGGUUAAGAACUUUGCUUCAGGAUGAGAACAGAAAUCGUGCUCCAGCGGCGCGGCAGCAGCAGGAGGCCCCAUUAGCUAAAGUAGUGCUUCACGUUAAGAACAGUUUCAGGUUAAGAACGGACCUCCAGAAUGAAUUAAGUUCUUAACCUGAGGUACCACUGUAUUAAUUUUGUAGAUUGUGUCCAUUUCUGCCUCCAUAUCAAGCACAUCCUUUUUCAAAAAGUAUGCCAGGGAAUUACCGGUAAUGUUUUUAUCCCUAAUAUCUUCACCCUCCUCUUCUGGAAUCUCUCUGAACUGUAGGCAGAUCUCCUUUUCUCUCAACUCCAUUAAUGCCAAAUUCUCCAAAUAUCUUUCCAUCUGUUUGUAGCUUCACUUCUACUUUCCAGAUGUGAGAUAUGCUGGCAGGUACAGGAGUUUCCCUUUCUCUCUGGAAGCUUCCGAUAAGAAUCAACGAGCCUCUGACAGGUUUAUAGUCCAUUUUAUUUACACAGAGGCAUGGAGCCACCCUCCUUCAGCAUCUCAGUUGGUCCCUCUGCAUCCCUGCCCCUUCCACUGCCCCGCUCUCCCACCCUGGUGCUUCUGUUGAAACUUCACCCUUUCAGACCUCCUAGUGCAAGGGGAGGGAAGGAGGUCCCCACCGCUCUCAAAGGAAGAGUCUCCCAAGCGGUGGCUCCCUCCUGGUUGCCUAGCUUCUGACUCAGAGUUAUCUAGCUCUUCCCCCGACUGUGCUGUCUCUCAGUCGGCUGCUGGGAAAGUUGAAGGAAGAGGGGGGCAAACUCUCCCCUUCUUCUUCUGUCAGAGGCUGCUCUGUCUGUGUCUGCAUUCCUUCAUCUUCAGAGUCAGAGCAGUCUCUGGCAUAUGAGUCAGACCAGCCCCUGACACCAAAGCCUACACUUUUUAUUUAAUUGCUUCAUUUCUACAGACAACUGUGCAUAGGAUUCUUCUAUUUUAUUAAGUGUUCCUUCUAAAUCUUGCCAACUUUUCAUCUAUUUGUAUCCAAAUGGUCCAUAUUGUUUUUAAUUUCAUUCAUCUCUAAUUUAAGAGAUUUUGUUUGCUCUGCCAUCAUCUGCUGAAAAAUGUCAAAAGGGUCAAAAGGUACAGUAUCAAAAUAUGUUUUUAUUUCCUCUGCUGCCUUUUUCUUGCUGCCUGGCGUGCUGAGUAUUCGGAGUAUAAAAACAAACCGUCUUUCUUUUAAAGCCAACUUCUAUUUUCACCAGCUGUUUCUGCUUCGCUUAUUAAGAAUGUCAGCCCUUUCUGUCUCUUUACUGCUCUCAUAAAAACUUCAGCAACAGGACAGCUUCCCCAGAUAUCUUGUUCUGGCUGCAGCAUCAAUAAAUGUAGCCCAUUUAAAAUAAACCGAUUCCAUUCUCACAGAGGAAAUUUCAACUGGCAAAAUAGCUUUUAUAUUCUUAGGCACACUUUUGCCAAGAAAAUAAAUAAAUAAAUAAAAAUAAUCCACUUAGAACUUAACACAGAAACUCCUUUGUCUGUUUAAAUCUUUCUUAUCUCAGACCAUAAAUCAAGCCUUUUGUCUUCACUCAGCAGCUUAAACAGCAGUCCUCCUCUCUUCUAAGUUGUAGAAAGUAGAUAGCUCACUGGAUGUAAGUUUUCACUGGCAGAUGAAGAAACUCACUUAAGUUGUAAAUUAUUUUAUUCCAAAAAUAAUUAAGAAAGAGAGGUGUUUUGUGGAUCCAGUGUCCAUAUUGGCUGUUGUAUCAUUUGGGCAAGGUGAAAUUUCCUCAAAGUCAGGGCCUCCAAGAAGACUUCUCUCUGCCAAUCUCACCAGCUCCUUUUCUGAAGGGAAGCUGAAAGCCAAUAUUGGUGUCUAUCUUCAAACACCACACAACCACCACAGACAGAUGAGCUGAUGGAGAUAGUCCAUUGGCCACCAUCGCUCCCCUGGAAGUUUUUCCUUUGUUUAUUUUUUCUUUCCUCUUUUUUCUUUCUCUUUCUCUCAUUUAUCUUUUCCUCUUUUCCUUUGUGUUUUUAGUUUAUCUUUUAUAUUCCAAAAAUAUAUUGGGUACUGUAUUUGAUAUUAACUUUAUCUAUCUUUCCCCAAACUUUAAUGGGGCAGGGGAAACAUUAAUACAUACCAUCAAGGUGAUAGGUGAGUCUGUACCAUACUUUGCUCUUGCAACAUCUACUGCUUCUUUCUCCAUGUUCUCUUGAAUUGUACCUUUCAUGUCAAUAUAGUGGCAGUCAGAACUUGCAUAAUGACAAGAAAUUGUCUGCAUAAAAAGACCAAUAUAACUUAUUUAUUUUCAUUUGUAAAUGCAUUUCUGCAAAGGCAUGCAUCCCAUAUGGAGGAUAGGUUUUACCCCUCACCUCCAGCCCUCCAACAAAGAAACAUAGAAAUAAUAAGGUGCAACUUCAGGUUUUGAUAUUAAUAGCUCAAACAGCAUCUUACCUUACGAAACCCUUCAGUCUUGUUCAUUCCAGAGCCAUGGAUUAGCAAGGGGUGGAAGAACACUGUGUCUCCUUUCUCCACAGCAAGGUGAACCCUUGGAAUAGUUUUAUCAUAAUCACGCACUCCAUGGUACAUCUUGUUUACACCACCCUGGAAGUUCAAUGCAUUGAAUUAUCUUCUUUAGCCUAAAGAACUUAAUCUUUUGAAACCUCCACACUUCAAAAACUUUUAGAACAGAUUUAUAAAUAUUAGGUCUAUUUAGCUGGAUGAGACCAAGGCCUGAUCCAGCUGAACAGUGAACAGUGGACAGCGAUGUCCCUUCAGAAGCUCACAUGCUGAAUGUGAAGCUGAUGGCCCUCCUGCCUCCUUUCCCCUUGCAUCUUGUAUGGAGAUGCCUGCUGGCACCAAACAUGGAUGUUCUGGCUUCCAUUUGAGAAGCCUAUUGCCCAGGAUCCUGUCUAAUUAGUUUUGUCUAAGCCAUUUGAGUCCAUGGCCCUCCCCACAACUGGUGGCACUGAAAUAGAGAACGUUUAUUUGGUGAAAUAAAUAAGAUGCUAAAAGAAAAUAUUGUAUUCUCCCCCACGUUGGUAUCUUUUUCUAAGGGAGAGAAUAAAAAGAUAAAAAGAAAAGAUUUGCUACAUUACCUUCUUAUUGUUGCAUGUGUAUUGACUGCCCAAAGAUGGAGAACAUUGUUUCUAUGAUGGAGUAGUAUAUGGGAAAUUGCAUUACAUGAAAAUCUUACCUGCAGCCCCCUGCCUCCUCUGUCACAGCCCCCUGCUGCUGCUGCUGCUGCUGCUGCUGCUGCCGCCACCUCCUUCUCCACAGGCCCCUGCUCCCAAUCUUGAAGGUGGCAGGGAAGUAAAAGGAGGCUGGAGAUCUACCAACUGAGGAACUGCUUCAUCUCACCUCAUGGGUGGGCUGGUCUGUUCUUGUUCUGAUUUCUUAUGAGGGUAAAGGUAAAGGGACCCCUGACUAUUGGGUCCAGUCGCAGAUGACUCUGGGGUUGCAGCGCUCAUCUCGCUCUAUAGGCCGAGGGAGCUGGCGUUUGUCUGCAGACAGCUUCCAGGUCAUGUGGCCAGCAGGACUAAGCCACUUCUGGCAAACCAGAGCAGCACACGGAAACGCCGUUUACCUUCCCGCCAGAGUGGUACCUAUAUAUCUACUUGCACUUUAACAUGCUUUCAAACUUCUAGGUGGGCAGGAGCAGGGACUGAGCACCAGGAGCUCACCCCAUUGCGGGGAUUUGAACCGCCGACCUUCUGAUCAGCAAGCCCUAGACUCUGUGGUUAAGACUACAGCGCCACCUGCUGGUACUCUCCACUUAUUUGUCACAAAAAUCUAGCUAACCAGCUUUAUCAUUUUUUCUUGUGAAUGUAACAUCCAGUGCUAGCCCUGAUUUGAUUUGGUUUAGCUUUAAUGUGUCUGUCUCAUAAUUUUUCUUCUUAUUAUUUUGGUUAUAUGGGGGGGAAAUCAAUAAAAAUACUUUUCUAGAAAAUGCAACUUGUGGAGAGGGCACGAUACAAUUGCCUGUAAGUGCACUGAUCUCCAGUUGAGACUUUUCAUAGUUACCUCUGUGUCAUGAUGGACACUCAAGAACUUUGGUUGGACUUGUGUAUGUCUCCUGGAUGGGUGGAUCCCAGUAACAACAAAAUGUCAUCUGUGAGGCUGCCUUCAAAGAGAGUUUGGAAACUUCCUACUGGCGCAGAAUGCAGUCACCAAGAGCUUGGAGAUGUGUGUGUUCUGAUCAUAUGACAUCAGUUCCAUAUCAGUUGCCCUGGCUGCCCAUUCAUCUCAAUUUAAAGCCCUCUUUUUGAUUGUAAGGAUCAUACCACUCAGUUAGCAAAACUGCUAUUGGCUACCUCCAAAUUUGCAGAUACUUCCAUCCUCCGUCCCUCCCUGUGAUGAAGUCAUAAAGAAAUUACCUCCCACUCAGGAUAAUCAUGCUUUUUCAGAGACCCCUUAUGACUUCCUGGCCAAACUGCCAGGCAUCCAUUUCUGCGAUCAAUCUUCUCCAUGGCCGUCCAGGCACAAACAAUGCGAUCUGCAGGCCGGAAUGAGAAGUAGUGCAAAUCCUGGUGCAUCGGUUGGCGAGAGGUCUUAUUUCCUGCAACAAUUAUUUGUAUUAGCUUUCAUAGUACAGAUGCAGAAUUAGUUAAGUAAAUACAAGCACCAUCUUCCAAUACUUCUCAUGUAGAGGUGGUGCAGUUUUGGCUACACCUUCACUGGCACUCAGAGACUCAAACCAGGACUAGUAUUUCUGGAUUUAAGCUGGCAAUGGCUGUACACACCCAUCUAUUGUAGUGAUGGCAUGGCAGGAAUGACCUAUAAAUUUUGGAUUUAAUUUCAAGUGGACAAUACAAUGUACAGUACCACAAAUACCUAGGAAUUCAUACUGGUGGAAUUACAUUAGAGUGACAAUGCAGAAUGUUUUGCCAGGAGCAUAAUUCCACUGAAACCCUAUGUAAAAUCCCUCUUAUUGUUUAGGGUGUUGAAUUACUGGUCUGUAUAUAAGUGCAGGCAUUUAUACUGAGGCUGCAGCUUCUGGACAGAAAUUCUGUUCUCUCCUUUUAGCAUUAGACAAAGCCCUACCCUUCCAACAGCAGUCAGCGUUGUCACUUAUGAGUGGAGGGAAGACAGUCAUGAGAAACCAACUUCGCAUUCAACAGCAAGGCUAGCAGUAUGAAGGUAAUUUAGGAAGACACAAUUAAGCCCUUCAUGCUUACUUUGUUACUGUAAGACAGGAUACUUUAUUCAGAAUAUUUCUAUCUCAUAUUUGCAUCACAAAAUAUAAGAUUAAUUUCACAUUUAAGCGAUUAUUAUUAUGAAGGGAUAUCCUAGGAGUCAGCCAUCAUAAGGGUUGGGUUUCAAAUAGCUACAUGCAAUACCUAGUCCCAACCAUGUUCCACCCUCCCUCUGCUCUCUUUACCAGAGUUACUCUAGCCCAGGCAUGUCCAAAGUCUGUUUUGGGGGCCUAAUCCAGCCCGCCGGUUGGCUUAAUCCGGGCCCUGUGGCAGUUUAUUUCCAGGGCUAUAAUCAUAAAAAAGCUCAACAACUUCAAUCCUAAAAAAAGUUUGGUCGGCCCUCAUACAUGUUCACCUCAUCAAAUCUGCCCCUCUUUGAAAAAAGUUUAGACACCCCUGCUCUAGUCGCUGCCAAGUGCCAAAACCCAGGAAACUGGAACACCUGGUAGCAACAACUGAAGAGUUCUAUUCCUAAUAGCAGCCCUGAAAGUGACCCAGAUGAGAUGGGACCCAGGGAUUCCUUACUUUUCCAUAUACUUUACUAUCUUAAUAAUUUAAUUUAAAUUUUAUAUCCCACUUUUCACCGUCUAGGCCUCAAAGCAGCCCACAAUGAUAAAAACACACAUUUUCUCAUUCUGCAAGGUUCCUCCUGCCAGGUAACGCAAGUGCCCCAUGAGAGUGUCCCACUUAUCUUGAUGCCCUGACUUCAAAAGAUCUAUAUCCCACUUCAGGGAGUUCUUCCUCCCCACACAAACCUCUACUAUGGAGAGGAAUGACACCAAAAUCCCUGGAACUGAACUGAUAUGGCUGACGGGGGCCUGAAGCUAAAAGAGCUGCAGGGUUCUUCCUAUACGUGGUUUUGUAAAGAGGUUUAACCUUUUUGGUCUUCAGUUUUUGGAGAACUGAGUUUAAUGUUCAAAGUGGACCUACAAAUCUCUCCCAAACUUGCAUUACUUGGGAUUCUGGACACUUCUAACUCUCAAAAGGAACAGUUAGCAUUUGUCCUAUUAGUGGUGUGUAUAGAAAUUUCAAAUUGCUAUGCAAUAGCAUUCUGCAGUUUCUGUAAACAUUGAAGCCUGGUAUUCCCGGAUAUGGACAAUAGCCUUUGCUGAAAAACUAACCUACCAAAUUCAUGCAAAUAAAGAAAAACUGAGUCCUUACCUUUUCUACAACACUUGGCAAAUGUUUCUUGAAUAUAUGCAAUAACAUUGUAACAGGAACCCACCACAAUCCAAAUAGUAGAGAGACUAUUUGGACUAACUCUCAGGAAUAAGAUCUGAUCUUCUGUGACACUGUGGUUGGUAUGUUGCGACAUGUGCUGUACAUGUGAUAUUCAGUGGAAAAUGAAUAAAACCUUUUAAAGAAUGAAAUCAGGCAGAGGACUGCAAGAAAGGUGGGGAAUGAGGAAGAGAGGAUGGCAAGGGAGAAAAGUGUGCCACAGUCACUUUUGGCUCUGUCCAUGCUCACAGAUUAUACCCAGAAGAAAUAAAGCAGGAAACAGGAAAAAGAAAGGUCCCACCUCUGAUUUAGAGAGUACCAGUACAAAAUCUGAGAGAAGUUAAAUCAAGACGUGUAUCAGAAUGAACCAUGUUGUAUACAACUAUACAUCUUCGUUUAGACUUGCAUCACAGUAGCUAAUUCUCUAAGUAUACCUACAGGACCUUGCAAAAGAAAAAGGGCAAGUCCAACAAUAUUUACAUACAUGCUAGCAUUCUUGAACAGAGUAUUUUAUUUUUCAUCUGUUCAAUUAUUUCUUACCAGAAUCCGGAGGCUUAUUUAUCAACAUGGCGUGCAUAGCCAUGAUGUUUGGUCCCGUGAAGCAUUCGACAUAUUUCAAUAUCUAAGGUGAAGAAAGUUUCUCAUGAGAUGCAUAUUUAAACAUGCUAAAAAUAUAUUACCCCUUAUAUUUCAUGGGCAAGACUCAAGUGAAUACGCAUGAUCAAUACACCAGUGUUGAAACAGCAACCAGUGCUAUGCACUGCUGAGAGACAUCUAUAGAUAUCCCAUUGAAACGAACAGGAAUUAAACUCCCAUCCAGCAGUAAACUGUCUGGAGCUACCUAUUCCUAUAGCACAGAGAUUCAUGUAAAAAAAUUAAAUCACUUUAUGUUGAUUUAUACUUAACAUGACAAUUAAUAGCAUGUCAACACAGAGCUAAGGUGAAUGUUUCAUUAGAGCAAUGGUUUUUCCUUGAUCAGGAAGUGCCCUCUCUCUGCACUUCCCCAAAAUGUGUUCUGGGUUUCCCCCCAGAUGUGGAGGCGGAAAGGAUACAUGCGGGGGGGGGAGGGGGGAAUUCCCUUGGGCUAAUGCUAAUGCUUGAGCUAGCACAAAAAGUUGGUUAAAUAUCACACACAGUGAUCACCACUGCAGAGAUGCCUGAUUUCACUAGACUGGGUACACUAGACUGGGUACAAUCUGCAAAAGUUAAGCUCUGCUUAAAGCAUCUAUUGAACGAGACAAAAUAGCAGAUUAAAUCUACUGCUGUAUUGCUUCCUUAAUUUAAAAGCAGCCAUAUGGAAGUGAGGAAGACAUAUUUUGAAUAGGACUGCAGCACCAUGUGAUGGAUGUCAUACUUUGCUCCUUCCCAGGCCAUAUUCCCAGUGUAAAUCUCUUAUUCAGUUUAAGGAGGUGAGCGAAAUACGGAAAGACUCUGGUACCAGGAGGAAGUUGCUUGUUUUUUUCAAUUCACACCUCUGGCUGCUUUCAACUUUUAUAAAAAAAUAUGGAGCCAUGGGACAUCCUGUUCACGCAUCUCUGGCAUCAUUUCACCGUUGGUGUCACUUAACCUUUGGUAUAUUGUGCUGUUCCUGAUAGAAAAUGACUGCCUUACUAUGCUAGCAAGUUAAUUAAUGAAGUUUCCUAUUUCGUACAGGUCUUCCCCAUGGCUGCUCCCUUUUUAACCUGAGGCAAUCUACAAUAUCUGAAGAGCUUCUCAUGUUGCUGGAAAUCCUGUAUUUUGGAAACUGUUUUAUGAUCUAGAACAAACUCCGACUUGGAAGCUGAAACAUCUCUCAUGACCGUCAGACCAGGGACAAUCACUUCCUGUCUGCAGAUCUUCAUGAACUCAUUUCUGAGGAGAGAAUUCAAAAAAAGUUAUUCAUGGCAAAGUUUGCUAUGCUGUUUAACCAUGUUAUUGCCUUUCUAAAUUAAAUUAAAUCAAAUCAAACUGGAUACUUCUAUUGUGCAAAAUCAUGGGUAAUAAUUUUUUAAAAAUUUAUUAAAUUUGUAUACCACCCAUCAUCCAUAGAUUUAGAAAUCCACAUAACUCAUUCUCUGUGAGGCUUUGGAUUUAUAUUUAUAAGCGAGAAGUGAAUUAUGCCUUGAAUCAACUGGCUGGAUGUUCUUGUAAAUCCAGGGGGAAUUUUCAUUUGGAGUGGGGCCCUUCCUGUGGCCUUCAGGUCUUGCUUGCCAAACACAAGCUCUUGGGCACACCUCAAGAGAGACCUCUGGACUGCAACCAGUGUGUUUUAAACCACUGGGGGUGGGGUCAAGUACCACGGGGGGGGGGGUCAAGACUGACCCAAGGGGGGUUGAAACAGGAGCAGUACCACCCUGCAAAGCUAUGGAAAAAGAGAUUAAGAAAUGGGUCCUGAAUGCAUGUUUGGGUGAAAAGUGAGUUCUGGGUCUGAAAAGGUUGAAGAUACUUGUUUUAGACAAUCUCACUAUAUGUGAUUAGGACACAUGGCUACAGUUUACCUGAAAUGUUCAACAUCCUCAUCCGAGACCAGAUUUUUUAUGACGAGAUAGCCGUUCUCCUCAUAGAAAUCCCUUUGCUCUGGGCUUAGAACAUUAUUAUCUAAGGUGUAACUGUGGAGAUAGGAACACACACUGGGUAAGUUCACAGGGCAAGGAUGAAGUCUAGGAAAUAAGCGCUCCCUGGGAACUCUUAUGCAGCCUACAACGCACCCCGGGGUCUUCUGCAGCACACAGGAGCUCUAGGGAAAACAGGCAGGUCCAUGUGGGAGGGGGUCCCUGAAGUUCAAAAUCUGCAGAACCAUGAAGGUAUUUAUUUCCAUGAAGUCAGCACAAAAGUUAGUUUGCUGCUUGCUUCUUGAGUAUAGAGGCACAAAAGUUUCUACUAAUCCACAAAUACACAGAUGCAACCAUGCCCAUAAGCUUUCUGCUUCAGAAUAGCAAAUUCCGCAGGACUCUGGUGAGGCAGCAAUUUGAUGGUUAAUGCACCUCAAAUUAUCAAAGGUUCGCCACAUCUAAGGAUGGAAUUCUAAGGAAAUUAAACAUGGUUUCCUUUCAUUGCCACCAUCAACAUAACAUAUCUAUUUUUAAUAGAAGAAAUAAUUUAAGUCGUCACCUACUGGUAUUGAGUUCGGUAUUUCACUGUAGUAAAUUGGGCUGAAGUAGGAAAUCGUGUCUGGAGCACAUGUUAAGGAACUUACAUUUGUUUUAUUUAGAUUAUUAUAUAUUAUUGUGUGAUAUAAAAACUCAGAACUGAUUCUGAAUCAUAAUAACUAUUGAUAUGGUGGAGGAAAUAUACUAUAUUAAUCUUAAAUUAUUCUUCAUAUUUAUAUCCAAGCUUUUGUAUCAAUGGUUCCCUCCCCCGAUGCAAGUUAACUGCAUAGGAAGGGGGCAUUUUAAUGUAACAUAGACUGCAUUCUAAACUCUGUAUAAUGAAUAUUAGAGUUAAAACAAUCAAUGUUUGUUAUCAAAACUCUGUUAAGUUUUUAUUAAACUCCAAAGGUCACCCAGGCGGCAACUUAUAAUGGCAAAUGGAAAACUAUUUGAGGAAAGCAAAUAUUUUUACAAUAGUGCCUUCCAUGUUGGCACUUUCUAAAUAUCAGCAAAAACACCAGAUGGAAAACAAUUGCCAAACACAAAGUGGUGUCUUCCAAGAAAAUUAAUAAAAAAUACCAGUGAUAUAACACUGUAAUGAAAAAUCUACAAAACAAAAAUGGAAACUGCUGGAAGCCACAAAUACUGGCAAAACUGCCUCUGUGUGAUGCAUUAAAUACCCUUCUGUAUAAAUGAGUUUAUUUGUAUUAAUAUAAAAAACUUUUUUAAAAAGAAUGUCAAAGUCAAAUGGCAUGUUUACAAUAUUACAGUCAAGAGCAUCAUAGCCUUGGAAUGGACCACCAGGCCUUAAUCACAUCAUUAAUUAUUUCAACAAAACUCACAACAACUAGAUUCUGGAGAACUUGGGACUCUGACCUUAUGGAAGUCUGGUAUUGGCAACUUUGGGACUUGGCAGUCAUGGAACCUGUAAGCUUUGAGCUUGUAGAAAGACGCAGACAAUUCUUUAAGCUAUUUAGACAGGUUUUAUUUCUUAUACAGCAACGACAGAACCCGAUAUAGACUACUGUGCUUCAUGGAAAUCUUUGAGAGGACACUUUUCAAAGAGAGACAUGGCUGAUGUAAUUGUUUUACUGGAACAGACCAAAGCUCUGCUCUUCCCUUUUCCCUUGUAUUGGGUUGUACUGCAUUAUUUGAUACGUGAUGGGGUCUGAGGGCUUUCUGGGGCAAAGAAAGUAUCCAGUAAUUGCAACCUGGAGAGCUGGGAACCUGGUGCUUAUUAACGCAUGUGGAAAUGGCAAUGCAAGAAGAGAAGAGCGACAGGCUUGUGCUUGUCGCGUGCCGAGAAAUCAUGGGGCCGAGCAGUUUUCUGCUUGUUCCAAGCUUUUUGGGCACAGGGCUGAGCAGUUUGCCCUUGUCCUGUCACUUUCAUUAGGAAAAGCCACUUUCUGAUUGCUGUUUGCUCCAAUUCAGCUGUAAAGAUCAGGUUUUCCUGGGGGGAAGCUGUGGGGCAAAGGCAAGUCUGAGGGCUUAUCCACACCUCUGUCUGCCCUGCCACUUUUCACCAGGAAACAUGAUAUUUUGGGCUGAAUUUGGUUUUCUGCAGAUUGCCGUCUGUUCCAAUUUGUUGCCAAAGAGCAAGUUUACCGGGGAAAGCAGUGAGGCAAAGGCCAAACCGCUCAGACCCUUGGCUAGAAAGUGCAGGACAAGCACAGAACCACUCGCCCCCCCCCCCCCGGCGGAAGCGAGGCAGCAGGAGGCAGACUCUCCCUUGGCUCCCCCGCUGCCUCGCUGGCUUGCAAAGCCGCUUCCAACUUAUCUCCCCAAUGUAUAAAAUAUCUAGGAUGACAUUCUGCAUGUCCAACCACUGAAGGCAUACGGUGAGAAAUUUCAGCCCCCAUUGCCGCCCGCCCGCCCGCCCGGACUGGACGAGGAGCUUCUCCCCCGGCGGCCCGCUCGGCCCAAAGGAUACGGGGCGCGGCGCGGCGGCGGCGCCGGAGCGCAGGACGGGGCGCAGCAGGGCGCGCAGCCGGAGCGAGGCGGGGGCGCCGGCCAUGGCGAGGCUCUCGCGGCUGCCUCCUUCUCGGCGCGGCUCUGCGGGAGAGAGGAGAGGCGUCGGCGGGCGAAAGGAGAGCGGCGCGGGGCGCCAGAAGCAGCAGCAGCAGCCGCAGUGUCGGGGAGAGGAGCCCGAGGCGCCCUGCGGCCUGGGGGGCUGAGGCAGUCCAGCGCAAGACCCCCCCCCCCGGGCCAGGCAGGCGCGCCUGCUCAGGUGGCGGCGGCAUCCCGCAAAAUGGGUUCCAGACCAGCACCGACACUGAUGAAUUAUUACUGCUACAAGGAACUAAAAGACUCUUUUAAAAACCUCUUGGUUUAACACGCGCAGGGGGGCCAACGAUGAGCCCCGCCCCGCAUCAUCAGCCCCAAGAUGCGGCACAUGAUGCACACCAUUUGAAGGGCAAUGCCCAUCCACGUGGGAGGCCGCAGCCCCUCAAAUAUGUUAUUAGGGGGCCAAAGGGACCUCAGCCUCCCCGUUGGCUCCCAUGAACAUGUGCAAAGUCCGGCUUCUCUCAAGCUGCAACACGCCAGGAAGUUAAAGGCAUGGAAUUUUGUGAAUAUGAGGCUACGUGCAAUUUAUCUUAUGUCUAAUUAAGUUUCCAAUUUGUUAAGUGAAAAAUAAAGACCCAAACUCUGAUGAAGAUGCUGAAGAGUCCACACCUUAAAGCAGAGCUCUCCAAACUGUGUGUCAGACGUGUUGGCGUGUCGGCCGCAGUGCGCAGGUGUGUCACUCGAAUGCUCCCUGCGCUCCUCCUGGGGCUGGAAAGGGGUUAGUUGAGCUUGCCAGUAAAACUGAAUUACUGUGUCGCAAAAUGAUGCAUGUCUAAAAAGUGUGUCACCAACAUGAAAAGUUUAGAAAGCACUGCCUUAAAAGUCUGAAAUGUCUUAUUUUUUAUUUCUCCUUCUCUCUCUCCAUCACGGAAAGCAUAACUGAAGGGGCUGAGCACAUCCCUAUUAUCAUAGUGGUGAUUAGGAUUUGUCCUCCAUGACAAAAUGGUCAUGGCCAAUUUUAAAGUUCUUUUUAGUAUCUUCUGUUACGCUACAUAUAUUAGAGGCUAAUCGAGUCUCUACACAAAAUGGCUGCUCAAAAAUGUGUUCUGCGUGCAUAGUUGUUCUCUAUAAUAAGGAACUGUUUAUGAAUUUACAAUAGUGUCUGCCUAGAAGAAGGUUGAGAGCACAAUCCAAGUAGUAAUAGUAAUAAUAUCAAAAUACCUGAGUGUUUCGAUUGGAGGCCUUGAUCCAACGAAGCCUGGUCCCAGUCCAGAAGCCUCACUGAGAUCUUGCCUCCUGAAGAGCCUAUGAGGAACUGAGCCGCCUUUCAUAAGUCGAAUCAUAAGACAUGACACCCCCCCCCCCCCGCACACACACACUUCCUGGCUGUAUUGUCAGAAUGAGAUUUAUUAUAUAUUCAUUAUAUGCAUCACAUACGGCAAAGCUCCGCCCCUACUUCAUUCUAACAUUAUCGAUGUCAAAUGUUUAUUUAAUUAAUCUUCUAAUCUACUUUUGCCCCUGCCCAGCUUGUUGCUUGUAUGUUGUUCUGCUUCUCUCUUUGUACAGUGAAAAAUACUGAAAUGGCUUAUGUUAUAAAAAGGCCUGGGGAAAGUUUGCUAAGAGUUUCGAGAAUUAACCACAAGAGUGGUGAAAGCUGAAAUUUUACCAAAGACACUGUCAGAUCAUAAUGCCACUGUAAUGGAAUGGAAAAGUAAAGAUUUAACAACGCGAAGGUGGAGAAUGAAUGACAGCUUGCUAGACAAUACAGAGAAACUAGAUAAAAAACAAACACAUAUUUUGAAUUAAAUUUAAAUAAAGGUACUGAUAUUAAUGUAGUUUGGGAUGCAAGCGAAGCUGUUAUGUGAGGAUUCUUCCUGCAACAAAACUGUAUUCUUAAGAGGAAAAAGGAAAAGAACAAAGAAGAAAUAUUAAAUAAAAUAAAAGACAUAGAAAAACAGAUGGUUAGGGAGCCAGAAGACCCAAAAUUAAAACAAGCACUUAAAUUGUUGCAAACGCAACUAUCUAUGAUUAUAAAUCAAGAAGUGGAAUGGAAAAUUAAACGAUUAAAACAACAAAAUUUUGAAUCAGCAAACAAAACGGGAAAAUGGCUGGCCUGGCAAUUAAAGAAAAAACAAGGGCAGAACUUCAUAAAUACAAUGAAAGAUAGUAAUGAAAUAAUAGAUAAUCCCAAAGAAAUAAGGAAAGUUUUCUAUAAAUUUUAUAAAGAAUUAUACAAAACACCCAAAGAAAAUGAGGAAAAAAUAAGAACUUACCUAGAGGAACAUAAAUUAAAGGCAAUCUUGCAAGAAAGAAGAGAACAACUAGAAAGACUGAUUUCAGAGGAAGAAAUUAUGGAAACAAUUACACAAGGGAAAAUGGAAAGGCACCAGGGCCUGAUGGUAUACCAAUUAAAUAUUAUAAGAAAUUAAGCCAACAACUAAUUCCUGCACUAAAGGAAGUAAUGAAUAAGUAUAAUGAAGAAAGGGCAGAUUCCAAUGACAUGGGGAGAAGCGUUUAUUACAUUAAUACCUAAACAAGGAACGGAUCUUACAAAUGUAAAAUUUUUUAAACCAAUAUCACUGAUCAAUAACGAUUAUAAAUUGUUCACAAAUGUAUUAGCACAGAGGCUAAAAAAGAUUAUCGGACCACAAAUACAUCCAGACCAAGCGGACUUUUUACCAAGAUGGCAUUUAAAAGAUAAUUUACAAAACAUAGUAAAUAUAAUUGAAUACUUAGAAACUAAAAUAAAUAAACAAGCCACAUUGAUUUUUAUAGACAUGGAAAAGGUGUUUGAUAAUGUGUCUUGGUCCUUUAUGAAAAAGAAUCUAGAAAUAAUGGGCCUGGGUACAAAUUUUCUAAGGAGUAUAGAGGCAAUUUACAAAGAACAAAUUGCGAAACUCAUAAUAAAUAGCGGACUGACAGAGAGUCUUCAAAUCACAAAGGGCACAAGACAAGGCUGCCCACUGUCACCUCUACUAUUUAAAUCAGUACUGGAAGUAUUACUUCAAAAUAUAAGAGAGACAGAAAGAAUUACAGGGAUGAAGUGUGAAGAAAAAUAAUACAAGGUCAAAGCCUUUGCUGACGAUAUAGUUCUGACAUUACAGGAACCACAAAUCUUGACAGCAGAAGCAUUAAAAGUAAUUGAAGAAUUUGGUUUGUUGGCAGGACUGAAAAUUAACAAGGGUAAAACAAAAAUGAUGGUAAAAAAUAUGAAUGGGGAACAAAUAGAUCAAAGCAAAACGGAAACAACAGUGGUAAAGAAAAUAAAAUAUUUGGGUGUCUGGCUCUCCCCGAAAAAUACAAACCUAUUUAAGGACAAUUAUAAAACAACAUGGAAAGAAGUAAAAACAAAUUUGGAAAUUUGGGAUAGACUGAAACUAUCCUUCUGGGGAAGGAUAGCAGUUAUAAAGAUGAGUGUCCUACCUAAGUUGCUCUUUUUAUUCCAAACUAUCCCGAUUAUUACUGGAUUAGGUCAAUUCAAGGAGUGGCAAAAAACAAUUUCUAGGUUUGUAUGGCAGGGGAAGAAGCCUAGAAUAAAAUUUAAACUUCUAACGGAUAAAAGGGAAAGAGGCGGCUUUUCACUACCGGAUCUUAAAAUACAUUACGAAGCUGCUUGCGUAACAUGGUUAAAAGAAUGGUUUAGCUUGAACAACACAGAUAUAUUAGAUCUGGAGGGGUUUGGAAACAGAUACGGGUGGCAUUUGAUCACUUUAUGAAGUUUGGAAGAGAUAUAAAGAGUGGUUUGAAAGGAAAACACCAUGGUGGCUGUCACCCCAAUAAGCCUUCUCAGUGAAAAAAAUAAACAUGAAAGGAGAAUGGCUAACGUAUAGAGACAUACUGUUGGAAGAAAAUAACGUAAUUAAGAUCAGGCCUUAUGAGGAACUAAAAGAUAAACUAUCAAGCUGGAUGGAGUACCACCAAAUGAAUGGCAUUUUCUCAAAAGACAAAAAGCAAGAGGUUUUGAACAAACAAGAUCAAUAUUAGAAAUUGCAGUAUUAAAGAAUAAUACAAAAUAAUGUUCAAAGUUUAUGAGAUUUUAAUAGAAUGGCACACAAAAGAUGAGGAAAUCAAGAGUGUUAUGAUUAAAUGGGCAAUGGAUGUUGGCCAUAACAUUGAAUAUGAGAAGUGGAUAAAAUUAUGGAACACAGGGCUAAAAUUUACAGCAUGUACCUUGUUAGAAGAAAAUCUGUUAAAAAUGAUGUACAGAUGGUACUUCACGCCAAUUAAAUUGACAAGGAUGUAUAAAACAGGAAACAAGAAUUGCUGGAAAUGUGGGGUGAAAGAAGGUCGUUUCUUUCACAUGUGGUGGUCUUGUGAUAAUGUAAAAACGUAUUGGGAAAAUAUAUAUAAUGAAUUAAAGAAGAUAUUUAGAUACACGUUUUUGAAAAAGCCAGCGGCAUUCUUGUUGGGAAUGGUAGGAGAAGACAUUACUAAGAAUGACCAGAAAUUGUUCUCAUAUGCACUAACAGUGGCAAGUACCAACAGUAGAAGAAUGGCAGCAGAAGGUAAUGGAAUAUGCAGAAAUAGCUAGAUUAACAGGGAAAAUUCGACCACAGGGUGAUGAAACAUUUCAAAAAGAAUGGGAAAAUUUUAUGUCAUACAUAGGAAGGAUAAGGUGAAAUAGUGAAACCAGUAGAACUGAAAUAAACCUCAUAAUGUGAAAUAUUUAUGGAUAACGAUAACGAUAUCUUUAUUGUCAUUGUCCCUUGCGGAACAAUGAAAUUGAAAAACUACAUAAAACUACAUAAAAACUACAUAAGACUACCACAAAACUACAUAAAACUACCACAAAACUACAUAAAACUACAUAAAAACUACAUAAAAACCACAUAAAACAUUCAAAAUCCCUAAAAACUCUAAAACCCCAUUUUAAAAUACACUAUACUACGGAGACCCCUUAUGCUGCGUUUAGAACCAGAAUUGCAUUAGCGUAGAAACUGUUUCUCAGGCGGCUAGUCCUGGCCUUUAUAACCCUAUACCUUCUUCCAGAAGGCAGAAGAUGAAAGAGAUCAUUUCCGGGGUGCGUACUGUCAUGUGCUAUCUCUGCUGCUUUCUUAUGGCACCUGGCAGCAUAGAUUUGAUCUAAGGUGGGAAGAGUGCACCCAAUAAUUCUCUCUGCAGUCUUUACAACCCUGGAUAGCAUUGUUUUUUCCCUGGCCGUGCAGCUCCCAAACCACACGCACAGACCAUAAGUUAGUACACUCUCCACAGUGCAAUGGUAAAAUGCCAUCAACAGGUCCUUUGAGAGAUUGUUUUUCCGGAGGAUUCUCAGAAAAUAUAGCCUCUGCUGUGCUCUCUUCACCAGGUCUUUGCUGUUCUCUCCCCAGGUUAGGUCGUCUCUCAACUCCAUUCCCAGAAAUCGAAACACCGAGACCUGUUCCACGCACUUCCCCUCAAUAAUAAGUGGCUGAAUAUUCAAUUUACAUUUCCUAAAGUCCACAAUGAUCUCUUUUGUUUUCUUUAAGUUAAGGAGUAAGUUGUUUUUCCUGCACCACUCCCCCACUGCUCAACUUCCUUCCUAUAGGCCGCCUCCCCCUCUCCAGCCGUAAUUAAACCAACCACCGUUGUAUCAUCUGCGAACUUAAUGAUCUUAUUACUGGGGUAUUUGGGGGCACAGUCAGCUGUAUAGAGCGUAUAUAAAAGCAGGCUCAACAUGUACCCCUGCGCGUCCCCGUAUUCAUGAUGAGAUCCGCAGAGACAUGGGAACCCAACCUGACCCUUUGGGAACGGUUUGAUAGAAAGUCUAAUAUCCACCUGCACAAACAUGGUGGAAGUCCCAGGUCUAAUAAUUUGGGCACCAAUCUAUGCAGAAGAAUAGUAUUAAAUGCAGAACUAAAGUCUACAAAUAAGUCUCGCGUAGUUCCCUUGCUUCUCCAAAUGAGUCAGGACAGCAUGUAAAGCCAUUGCCACAGCAUCCUCUGUGGAUCUCUUUGCCUUGUACGCAAACUGGUAAGGGUCAAGUCCCACUGGCAGACAAGAUAAGAUGCGCUUCCUUACCAGUUUUUCGAAACAUUUCAUUAUAAUGGGUGUCAACGCCACAGGGCAAAAAUCAUUCAGACUGUCUAUCUUUGAUGUUUUUGGCAGGGGUAUAAUGGUAGCAGAUUUCAGAAAGGGUGGAACAGUGGCUUGGGCCAGAGACUGGUUAAAAAUCUUCGUAAAGAUUCCUGCCAGUUGGUCCGAACAAUCUCUUAGCACCUGCCAGCCACCCCAUCCGGGCCCAUAGCCUUCCUCGUGUUCACCUCCUUUAAUAUUUGCCUCACUUCUCCCUCUUCCACCCUGACAACAUUUCCUGUAGGUAGUGACACCAAUAGCUCUGGCAUCCCUGUUGGAGUCACUGUUGGUGUCACCUCAAAUCGGGCAAAGAAGGUAUUCAACUCUCCCACCAAGGAAGCAGUAUUCUCUACCACUGAUGAAUUCCUUGAUUUAUAACCAGUCAGAUGUUGAACUCCCUGCCACAUUUGUCUAGUAUCAUGAUUUCUCAGAUGGUCCUCAAUUUUUCCUCUGUACUCCGCUUUUGCUUUCCUGAUACCCCUCUUCAAGUUCGCUCUUUCUAUGCCAUACGGUACCCGAUCCCCAGUUCUAAAAGCAGAAUUUCUGGCCUUCAAUAAUCUCCUAACCUCUCCUGUCAUCCAGGGCUUCCUAUUCGGAUACAACUUAACAUACUUUUCCCUGGUGACAUUUGCUGUGCAGAAUCUAAUAUAAUCCAGGACCGUUGAUGUAUAAGUUUCUAGAUCUUGAUGGUCGAAGAUAUUCCAGUCGGUCUCCUGGAAACAGUCCUGCAGUUGCUGAGAGGCUCCCUCAGGCCACACCGUAACCAUCCGUGUUCGUAUCUGGCCUUGUUUCCUGAGGGGUGUGUAUACUGCUGUCAGAAGCAGGGUAAAGAAAAUUUAUGGAAAAUUUAUGGAUAAAGAAAAUUACAAAAAGUAAAAUGUACAAUGUGAUUAAUGUAACCAAUGGUAGUUGUAAAUGGAUAUAGACAGACAAUAAGAAUUGUAUAUACAGGAGGAUUUAUUUGACUAUGAACAAAUAUGAAAGAAGAAAAAUAAUAUACAAAACGGAUGAAGACAAUGCGAAAAAGUUAGAUGUGAUAUAAAAGGCCAGAAGAGGGAAGGAGGGAAGUCAGCUCUGGGGAGCAGGUGUGAAAUGUAAUACAGUGUGUGUAUGUGGAGUGUGCAAAUGAAAACCAAUAAAGAAUAUUAUGGGGGGGGGAGGAAAGCAGCUCUGGAAAAAAUUGAUUCUGAAUAAGAGAGACCUUUGCUUAUCGGUCUGUUUGGAUUAUUUCAUAUUUUCUAAGAAGCUAAGCCUGUGCUGGACAUAUUUUUGAGGUACAUUUGAUGUUUUAAUUAUUUUUAAAGAAAGUUCUGCAAGUAAAAUUUUGAAUAAUAACUUAUGGGUCUGGACAAUGCUUCAUUCCAAAAGGAACAGUUUUUUAAGCAUCCCGUCGCUUCAAACUGCACACUAUUAAUAUCUGCAAAAAUCCAGUCUACUACUGAAGCAUAACAACAGUCAAGCCAUUCACUGUGUGCAGAUGUAAAGGAGUAGAGCUGUGUACCAUAAGGGUAUUGCUGACAAUGCCCUCAAUGUGAACUACAAAGCUGGGAGUCUGUCUCUGAAUAAAACCUAAUCUGAGUAACUUGGCUGCUUUUGAACAUGGAAAUUGGAGGCUAAUUUGUGCAGGUUAUUUGCACACUACAGAGAGAUGAGCUAAAAGAAUUCCAGGUAAACUGCUAAGUUUAAUAUUGAUGAAUAUGUACACAAAUAGUACCUAAUUGUGCAUGCUACCCUUUAUUAACUUACUCUGAUGUGUGAAUUAUGUUACAUCAAACCAUACUUAAAAUAAACUAUGGUUUAAUGUGAAUGCCCAGUGUACCUUUGCAGACUGCUGAAAUUCUGGCCACUUUGCUUCUCCCCGGCUGCCAAGAAGGCAAGUCUGGCUUGUUGUGUUGUCUGAACGGCCCAGCCUGACGAGGAAAGAAACCAGGAGCCCAUGUUCAGCCCACACAACAAGCCCGAGUAUGGCUUCUUUCCUGGAAGCGCAACAGCAGCAGGGGAACAGUGAGGCACAAUUUCGGCAGUGCGCACCAGCACGCUGCUUGUUCACAAUCGUGUUCACAUUAGCGUUACUUUAAGGAUGUUUAAUGUGACCAUGGGAACCAGGCCAACAUGAGAAACCAACCCUUAGGAGUGCGUACUCAGAAAUGUUACUCCAUUAAGAUUUGUUUCUCCCUACUUUCUUGCCCUUCUGUGUAAUUUGCAAAACACACAUCUGGUCUAGAGCCACGAUGUUGUGGACAUUGGGAGACUAUUCCAGACUAGAACUUGCACUAAAGACACACAGCAGCAGUGGCUAAUUGGGCUCUCUGGGAAAAGAGCACCAUCUACUGACCUCUGGAAGAAGUCCUUUAAGCAAUGCUUGUGCAAAAUGCAGUGUUUGUAUGCCAAUGGGGUAACGCCAUCUUGCGCUGCCCGGUACUGCCAGGCGUGCUCUUCUCAAUGGUUCUUUGCUGCAGAAUUAAGCCUUGGGGGACUGGGCAUCUUGCGGUCUGAAGUCAGGACUUCCAAGCACCAUCCAUGCGGCAUGCAGGGGUGUUCUCCACAGGGAAGCUGCUCCCACACCCGAUCCAGCAUGCCUCGGCUCUAUUGCCCAUCAGCUUAUGGGCAAUAGAGCCAAAGCUGCUUUCACUUGCCAGUGCAUGACCAGGAGUGCCCCACUGUGCCCAAGGCUCCACCUGAUGUCACAUAUGAUGGCAGGUGGGCAGGGCUUGAAGAAAACAGCCUCGCAGGCCAAGUUUGACCCACCUCUGGCACAACAGUAUCGCCAAACUGCAAACACGAUCCUUUGGGAGAGUGUAACUCAGUCUAGAGCAGACUGAACAUCAUGUCCUUGAGCAACUAAAGUAGUGAUAGAAACUCAUUUGUCAGGAGUUUGAUUCAGUUUAUUGGCCUGCAUUCUGGAAAAUGGUUCUGCACUUCCACUACCUCAACCCACAGAGGAGAGAAAAAAUAUAUCAGAACUAUAAUGUGCAUUAGCCACAGAGACUGGACCUGUGAUGUUUGCCCGAAAUUUAGAUUCUUUGUGGUGAUAUUCUUUUUUUUUUUUUAAGCAAUGCUCAGAGGUCGUAUUUAAAAAAAACCACUUUUGGGUAAUCCCAUAAAAUGCACUUGUUUAGGUAAUAUAGAUAAUUCCUGUGACAUUAAUUUGUGUCCGACAUUGUUCACAGUAUGUUUAAAGUGCUUGCUGAUAAGAAAUAGCCUUCUGUAGGUGGGUAGAUGUUGAUAUCAUGGCCUCAACAGCCUAAAUCAAAAUCACAACAGCUUGAGAAAGGAUGUUUGGGUGAACUUAAUUUGGUUUAAACAUUAUAUAUCACAUUGAUCCACUCUUUAUCAGCUGUAAAGGGAGGACUGCAUGUUUAUUAAUGGAUUAGAAAUUGCUCCCCUCUAAGCAACCGGCCCUUCAUUUAUCCCUAUUCCAAGAAUGCGUCAUGCAUUACAUCCAGAUUUGUUGAGGAACAGAACAGUUAUGCAUCACAGAUACAGAAGCAGCAAGGGCCAUGGAUUUGCCAGUAGUUUGAACCAUUUGUGUGCCAUGCAGCAUGAACAAUGACUUCCUCUUGUACAACGGGUGAGGCCAUCUACAAAAUGUUCAGAAUAAAUCAAGGAAAUGGAAAAAGUGGGGUGGAGACUUCUGCAACUUCCAUCUUACCCCUAGAACCCCUUGUUCACCCCCACCUCCCAAAAGUCUGCACCUGGGGGGUGGCUGACCCUCCAGGACAACACGAGAGGGGGUAUAGAAGAAUGAAUGGGAAAAUAACAAAAAACAUGGCUCCCCCUCCUUCUGUUUUUGGAACCCUCACUAGACUGAAGCCCCUUGCCAUGAAUGGAAGGGUUCCAUUCUACUGAAUCUAAUGCUCUUUAGGAAAAAGCACACAGCAGGACAGCACUACAAUGUUGAGGUGUAGUACUAGCAUGAAGUUUAUUCUGUCAUCUUUGGGGGUGGACAGACCCUUGUCCCCAAAAAGGCUUUCAAGAGAUCCUCCCCCAGAUUGAUCAGAAUUUACUUAAACAAAAUCUACAGCCUCCAACAGGAGAGAUAACGAGAGGCAUCAAGCUUUAGAUGAUUUAGUUCAUAUUUUUUGGCCCUGACCUAAAUACUAUCAUUUUGGAAAAGGGGUACUUGCAGUUAUAAAAGAUAUAACUAGAACCAAUAUCCCUCCAACUCUUCUUGUGUACUUGAAAAAGAUUGCUAAUAAGAAAGAUUUGGAACUGGAAUUGACUACUCUUUAACUCAGAGCAGUAAGACAAAUAGCUUUCCAAUGGAAAACUUCAAAGUCUAUUUCCCUUGAACUGGUAUGAACAUGUCUGGGUAGUAGUGUAUUUAACUAAGCUUACGUAUUAUAAAUGAAGGAAAGAAGAAGCACUAGAAAUAUUAAUUGAAGCACGACGUUUAUUUAUUAACUCUGAGAACACAAAAAACCCAAAGAAAGCAUGCAAUCUUAUAUAUUAUUUUCACACAUAACUCCAAAUGAUAAGGGUGGUUUUCUUUUUCAUUAUUGUAAUUACUUUCUAGUUUAGUCAUUUGUCUUUCUUAAUUUUCGAUUUAAGUUGAAUCUCUUUUUAGUUGAUUUUUUAAAAUGCGCCUGUCAUAUGGGUAACAUUGCACUUUCAAAAUGAGAUUAAAUCCACUGGUCAUUUCUUUAAAAAGCUGAUGAAGCUGACUGCAACAGGCUUUUGACAGUCUAAUACACAGCUUUUAGUUAGAGCUUUGUAUAGCUUAGGUAACAAAUGUAGCCCCUAUGCAGAACCUGUGUAUGUCAUUGGUGCAUUCCAUUGGUGCAGAAGUCUGUUUUCUUGACUGGUUCAAUAUGCUGCUGGAGGCUGAGCCAAGCUCUGUUCAGAGGAGACCAUGAGAGGAGACCACACAAGAUGGCCUUCUGGCCAUUGGGGGGGGGGGCUUUUCUACACUGCUCCCAACUCUGCCACAGCCUUUCGAGAUGGGGCAAUCGGAAAUGGAGAGCCCUUUCCUGAUUAGUCAGAAGUCUACCAGCAUACGUGAAGUUCCUAUUUAGUUAUUUUGGCCCCAAAGUAUAUUCCUUUAACUUACAUGGAACUGCAUUUGCCAUUUUGUUCAUUUAUUCACCCAGUUUGGAGAAAAUAAUGCUACGCUACUAAGAAUACAGGAUAUGGCUGGAACAUUCUGAAUCACUGCAUAAAGGCAGCUGUUUCAGUGCCUUGUUGAAUCAUACAGCUGUCUACCAUUCAAUACUGGAUAAAGUAAAUCAUGAAGUGCAUCAAUUAAAAUAGUUAAAACUGUUCUUGUGAAGGGAAGUUUUCUUUCUGCAGUUCUCUUACUGCACAUGACUGUGGCAUUGUGGGAAAGUCUUGCUUUUAGCACUAUUGUUUCUUUUCUCUUGCAUUCUGGGAAGUCUCGCUUCUGCUUCUGCACAUACUGUUCCAAACACACCAAGCCUAGCACACCUAGACAUUCUCUCAUUCUUCAGUUCAUUUCAAGUUCAUGAAGAAAACAAUAUGGUCUGUUCCUAAUGCAUAGCUGACCACAUCUACGGAACUUCAUUAUUAUAUUCUUUCAUGUUAUGAUCAAUCAUUAGUAAUUGUUUUAGUCAUGCUAUAUUAAUCUUUAGUUAUAAUUUAAUUAGGAGGAUUCAUGCCUGUCUAGUUCUAGCCCCAUUCCUCAUCCUUUGAUCUAUCAAUGAUAAAUGGACAUAUGCUAUUCCCGCCUUGUACCUAUGUUAACCAUCAGCAACAAGAUGCUUUGUGUUUGUAUCAACCAAUCAGCCACAAGCACACCUGUGGCAAUGUUUGUAAUAUUCAAUAAAAGAGAGUUCCCGGGGCUUGCCCCGGCAGACGCCUCUCAUAUGACACCUACCACUUGUCUGUCGUGAUUUCAACCCAACAUCUGGUGACCCCGACCCCUUAAGAAUAUUGUUUACUCAGAACAGUAGGCGUGUCCAAGGAGGUGUGCCUAGAAUUCUCAAUUAAGCAUCAUUAUCAAAUAUAAAUAUACCUCAGAACUGUUUUACUUCAUAGUAAUUGAAAAUAUUCAGUGCAAGAAAAAUUCUGAACACA